This 448-nucleotide ribosomal RNA is filed under the name uncultured bacterium. RNAcentral's name for it is "partial 16S ribosomal RNA". It matches the Rfam family "Bacterial small subunit ribosomal RNA", at positions 29 to 523 of the family's 1533-position model. The record is from RNAcentral.
AGUGAUCAUUGGCGGCAGGCUUAACACAUGCAAGUCGAGCGAGGCUAAUAGCCUAGUGGCGAACGGUUGAGUAAUACUCGGGAAUCUACCCCGGAGUUUGGGACAACGUUCAUAAAUGGACGCAUAUACCACAUAAACCAUAUUGGUAAAGCGUGAAGCGCUCUGGGAUGAGCCCAUGUCUGAUUAGCUAGUUGGUGGGGUAAAGGCCGACCAAGGCGACGAUGAGUAGCUGGUCUGAGAGGAUGAUCAGCAACACUGGAACGGAGGAACGGUACAGACUCCUACGGGAGGCAGCAGUGGGGAAUAUUGGACAAUGGGGGAAACCCUGAUCCAGCCAUGCCGAGUGUGCGAUGAAGGCCCUAGGGUUGUAAAGCACUUUUGGCGGGGACGACGAUGACGGUACCCGCAGAAUAAGUCACGGCUAACUUCGUGCCAGCCGCCGCCGUAA